This is a small nuclear RNA of Alosa alosa (allis shad), 186 nucleotides long. RefSeq annotates it as U2 spliceosomal RNA. The record is from RefSeq and is a predicted model, not a curated record. The transcript has a single exon. NCBI's taxonomy places the organism in Eukaryota, Metazoa, Chordata, Actinopteri, Clupeiformes, Clupeidae.
AUUUGUUAAUAAACAUUAUUAUGGAAAAAAAAUCUGUUCUUAUCAGUUUAAUAUCUGAUACGUCCUCUACCCGAGGACUAUAUAUUAAUCUGAUUUUUGGAACAGGGAGCGGAAAGAGGGAGCUUGCUCAGAUCCGCUCCCACCGCAUCGACCAAUUGACCGUGACUCAGGAGCAGUGCACAUCCC